Molecule: long non-coding RNA, 579 nt
Organism: Acipenser ruthenus (sterlet)
Lineage: Eukaryota; Metazoa; Chordata; Actinopteri; Acipenseriformes; Acipenseridae
Exons: 3
Source: RefSeq, a predicted model, not a curated record
CUUUAAAACAUGAACCUGAACCUGUACCGUAUAACUGAAACUAAUCUGUAAAUGACGUGGCACAUGGGUUAGAAGAUGGAUUUCAGAUGCCAUAUGAUCCGGCACACUCUUGCAAUGUAUGAGCCUGGAAGCUGUUGUUUCCCUAUCGAAUAUCCAUUUACAGAGAGCGAAUCCGCUGUCUUCCUCUAUCAGUCGCUUCCAGUCAUUUGCCUUCCCUUAAAGAAUUCCUGGUUGCAGUUUGGGAUACAGAACCUCUGAGAAGUCGGAUAACACCUUAUCAAUCAAUUUGAACUAAACUCCACACCCCCUGGCUGUGCGAAUAGGAUGCAAGUGGAGACUCAGGGCUGUUGAACAGAUCUCUCAAUAGAAACAGCCUUCCGAUUUGUGCUGUGAUGUCACUACAUAGUGUCUCACUGGCACAGGUGUUUGGCAGUGUCUCCAGAUAAUCAAUAAAAACAUUCAAAGCUGUCUGAACAAUCUUGUAUCUUAAAUGAAACAGCCCCUUAUUUAUAUAGCAUCUUUCCCACUGUUUUAGUGACGGUUGUAAAGCAGAUUUCCAGCCAACUUUACUGUAUUUAA